GAUCUCUAUUUCGGUAGGGAGAAAGUGGCGAACGGGUGAGUAACACGUUGGUGACCUGCCCCGAAGCGGGGGAUAACUCCUCGAAAGAGGAGCUAACACCGCAGAUGUCUGGAGCGUUAGAGGCUUUAGACUAAAACUUUGGUGCUUUGGGAGGGGCCUGCGGGCUAUCAGCUAGUUGGUGAUGUAACGGCUCACCAGGGGAAAGACGGCUAGGGGGCGUGAGAGCGUGACCCCCCACAAUUUCUCUCCAGAGACGGGAAAUACUCCUACNUGAUUCGUAUGGAGGU
This 287-nucleotide unclassified non-coding RNA is filed under the name uncultured bacterium. Its description in RNAcentral is "partial contains 16S ribosomal RNA and 16S-23S ribosomal RNA intergenic spacer region". It matches the Rfam family "Bacterial small subunit ribosomal RNA", at positions 70 to 348 of the family's 1533-position model. The record is from RNAcentral.